GUAGGUGGCAAGCGUUGUCCGGAAUUAUUGGGCGUAAAGCGCGCGCAGGUGGUUCUUUAAGUCUGAUGUGAAAGCCCACGGCUCAACCGUGGAGGGUCAUUGGAAACUGGAGAACUUGAGUACAGAAGAGGAAAGCGGAAUUCCACGUGUAGCGGUGAAAUGCGUAGAGAUGUGGAGGAACACCAGUGGCGAAGGCGGCUUUCUGGUCUGUAACUGACGCUGAGGCGCGAAAGCGUGGGGAGCAAACAGGAUUAGAUACCCUGGUAGUCCACGCCGUAAACGAUGAGUGCUAAGUGUUAGGGGGUUUCCGCCCCCCUUAGUGCUGCAGCUAACGCAUUAAGCACUCCGCCUGGGAGUACGGCCGCAAGGCUG
RNAcentral lists this ribosomal RNA (372 nucleotides) under uncultured organism. Its description in RNAcentral is "partial 16S ribosomal RNA". It matches the Rfam family "Bacterial small subunit ribosomal RNA", at positions 527 to 896 of the family's 1533-position model. The record is from RNAcentral.